CGGCCUCACACCCGGGGCGGGUUUUUUUGGGGGGGAAAAAGAUCUGACGGCUGUGACUAUCCAAAAAAAAACUUUGAAGGAUACUUCACAGAAUAAUCUGAGUUUCCAGGCUACAACCCAAAGCAGAGUGCCAAGAAUGUGCAAGGCAAAAGCUUUCAGAGCAGAUUGAACUGCGACUGAUGUUUAUCCUUGAAGGAAUCUGCAAAUGAAGAUCUAUGAAGGCUCUCUUUAAAGGCACGGUGGAGAACUCACUUGGGUUCCCGGGAAAUGGAAGCCUAUCCUUGCAGCUGAAGCUUCUGGCUAAAUACUUAAUCUAUUACAUUAGAAUGUGUUAUUCAAAAGGAACUGGAAUCGUUGUAAUCCUAAUUCCAGGAUUGCAAAAAUUUCAAGCCACAGAACUUAAAUCUUCUGUUUCUCCACUAAUAUCUUGGAAGUGUGUUACAAAGUCAAAAUUAAAAUAUAUUUGCAUUUGAAA
Molecule: long non-coding RNA, 475 nt
Organism: Callorhinchus milii (elephant shark)
Lineage: Eukaryota; Metazoa; Chordata; Chondrichthyes; Chimaeriformes; Callorhinchidae
Exons: 2
Source: RefSeq, a predicted model, not a curated record